GAGGCAGUAUCAGAGGAUACGAACUGCACUCUGCGUAUGAAUUAACUUUAGCGUUUGAAAUUCAUGAAUCAUUGGAUUUACCUUCAUAACUGUGUUAUCGGUUACGUUGGAUUCUGCUCUGAGCCGUAAGGACCGAGACAGAAGG
This is a regulatory RNA element of Paenibacillus wynnii, 145 nucleotides long. It matches the Rfam family "pan motif". The record is from Rfam. NCBI's taxonomy places the organism in Bacteria, Bacillati, Bacillota, Bacilli, Caryophanales, Paenibacillaceae.